Molecule: ribosomal RNA, 207 nt
Filed under: uncultured bacterium
Lineage: Bacteria
Description: partial 16S ribosomal RNA
Rfam family: Bacterial small subunit ribosomal RNA
Source: RNAcentral
CGGAUUGUAGUCUGCAACUCGACUACAUGAAGCUGGAAUCGCUAGUAAUCGCGGAUCAGAAUGCCGCGGUGAAUACGUUCCCGGGUCUUGUACACACCGCCCGUCACACCAUGGGAGUCGGGAAUGCCCGAAGCCAGUGACCCAAGCGAGAGCAGGGAGCUGUCGAAGGCAGGCCGGAUAACUGGGGUGAAGUCGUAACAAGGUAAC